UACGUAGGGUGCGAGCGUUAAUCGGAAUUACUGGGCGUAAAGCGUGCGCAGGCGGUUCUGAAAGUCAGCUGUGAAAGCCCCGGGCUUAACCUGGGAAUGGCGGUUGAAACUACAGGACUAGAAUCUGGCAGAGGGGGGUGGAAUUCCACGUGUAGCAGUGAAUGCGUAGAGAUGUGGAGGAACACCGAUGGCGAAGGCAGCCCCCUGGGCUGAGAUUGACGCUCAGGCACGAAAGCGUGGGGAGCAAACAGG
RNAcentral lists this ribosomal RNA (252 nucleotides) under uncultured bacterium. RNAcentral describes it as "partial 16S ribosomal RNA". It matches the Rfam family "Bacterial small subunit ribosomal RNA", at positions 524 to 776 of the family's 1533-position model. The record is from RNAcentral.